This 90-nucleotide transfer RNA is filed under the name Deltaproteobacteria bacterium RIFCSPLOWO2_02_FULL_53_8. RNAcentral describes it as "tRNA-Ser". It matches the Rfam family "tRNA". Rfam says of the family: Transfer RNA (tRNA) molecules are approximately 80 nucleotides in length. Their secondary structure includes four short double-helical elements and three loops (D, anti-codon, and T loops). Lineage: Bacteria; Deltaproteobacteria. The record is from RNAcentral.
GGAGAGAUGCCCGAGAGGCCGAUGGGGUACGCCUGGAAAGCGUAUGUGCGGUAAAACGUACCGAGGGUUCGAAUCCCUCUCUCUCCGCCA